GGCGAACGCUGGCGGCGUGCCUAAUACAUGCAAGUAGGACGCACAGUCUAUACCGUAGCUUGCUACACCAUAGGCUGUGAGUUGCGAACGGGUGAGUAACGCGUAGGUAACCUGCCUAUUAGAGGGGGAUAACUAUUGGAAACGAUAGCUAAUACCGCAUAACAGUAUGUAACACAUGUUAGAUGCUUGAAAGAUGCAAUUGCAUCGCUAGUAGAUGGACCUGCGUUGUAUUAGCUAGUAGGUAGGGUAAUGGCCUACCUAGGCGACGAUACAUAGCCGACCUGAGAGGGUGAUCGGCCACACUGGGACUGAGACACGGCCCAGACUCCUACGGGAGGCAGCAGUAGGGAAUCUUCGGCAAUGGGGGGAACCCUGACCGAGCAACGCCGCGUGAGUGAAGAAGGUUUUCGGAUCGUAAAGCUCUGUUGUUAAGGAAGAACGAGUGUGAGAAUGGAAAGUUCAUACUGUGACGGUACUUAACCAGAAAGGGACGGCUAACUACGUG
This 505-nucleotide ribosomal RNA is filed under the name uncultured bacterium. RNAcentral's name for it is "partial 16S ribosomal RNA". It matches the Rfam family "Bacterial small subunit ribosomal RNA", at positions 28 to 507 of the family's 1533-position model. The record is from RNAcentral.